UCCACUGCUUUGAUGACACCCACUGU
Molecule: non-coding RNA, 26 nt
Filed under: Homo sapiens (human)
Lineage: Eukaryota; Metazoa; Chordata; Mammalia; Primates; Hominidae
Source: RNAcentral